ACAGGGAUUGCCCUAGUAACGGCGAGUGAAGCGGCAACAGCUCAAAUUUGAAAUCUGGCGUCUUUGGCGUCCGAGUUGUAAUUUGCAGAGGGCGCUUUGGCAUUGGCAGCGGUCCAAGUUCCUUGGAACAGGACGUCACAGAGGGUGAGAAUCCCGUACGUGGUCGCUAGCCUUUACCGUGUAAAGCCCCUUCGACGAGUCGAGUUGUUUGGGAAUGCAGCUCUAAAUGGGAGGUAAAUUUCUUCUAAAGCUAAAUAUUGGCCAGAGACCGAUAGCGCACAAGUAGAGUGAUCGAAAGAUGAAAAGCACUUUGGAAAGAGAGUUAAAAAGCACGUGAAAUUGUUGAAAGGGAAGCGCUUGCAGCCAGACUUGCCUGUAGUUGCUCAUCCGGGUUUCUACCCGGUGCACUCUUCUAUAGGCAGGCCAGCAUCAGUUUGGGCGGUUGGAUAAAGGUCUCUGUCAUGUACCUCUCUUCGGGGAGAACUUAUAGGGGAGACGACAUGCAACCAGCCUGGACUGAGGUCCGCGCAUCUGCUAGGAUGCUGGCGUAAUGGCUGUAAGCGGCCCGUCUUGAAACACGGACCAAGGAGUCUAACAUCUAUGCGAGUGUUUGGGUGUCAAGCCCGAGCGCGUAAUGAAAGUGAACGGAGGUGGGAACCUUUCGGGGUGCACCAUCGACCGAUCCUGAUGUCUUCGGAUGGAUUUGAGUAAGAGCAUAGCUGUUGGGACCCGAAAGAUGGUGAACUAUGCUUGAAUAGGGUGAAGCCAGAGGAAACUCUGGUGGAGGCUCGCAGCGGUUCUGACGUGCAAAUCGAUCGUCAAAUUGG
RNAcentral lists this ribosomal RNA (827 nucleotides) under Paramicrosphaeropsis ellipsoidea. RNAcentral describes it as "partial large subunit ribosomal RNA". It matches the Rfam family "Eukaryotic large subunit ribosomal RNA", at positions 68 to 913 of the family's 3401-position model. The record is from RNAcentral. Lineage: Eukaryota; Fungi; Ascomycota; Dothideomycetes; Pleosporales; Didymellaceae.